GAUGAACGCUGGCGGCGUGCCUAAUACAUGCAAGUCGAGCGAACGGACGAGAAGCUUGCUUCUCUGAUGUUAGCGGCGGACGGGUGAGUAACACGUGGAUAACCUACCUAUAAGACUGGGAUAACUUCGGGAAACCGGAGCUAAUACCGGAUGAUAUUUUGAACCGCAUGGUUCAAAAGUGAAAGACGGUCUUGCUGUCACUUAUAGAUGGAUCCGCGCUGCAUUAGCUAGUUGGUAAGGUAACGGCUUACCAAGGCAACGAUGCAUAGCCGACCUGAGAGGGUGAUCGGCCACACUGGAACUGAGACACGGUCCAGACUCCUACGGGGGCAGCAGUAGGGAAUCUUCCGCAAUGGGCGAAAGCCUGACGGAGCAACGCCGCGUGAGUGAUGAAGGUCUUCGGAUCGUAAAACUCUGUUAUUAGGGAAGAACAUAUGUGUAAGUAACUGUGCACAUCUUGACGGUACCUAAUCAGAAAGCCACGGCUAACUACGUG
RNAcentral lists this ribosomal RNA (496 nucleotides) under uncultured bacterium. RNAcentral describes it as "partial 16S ribosomal RNA". It matches the Rfam family "Bacterial small subunit ribosomal RNA", at positions 28 to 507 of the family's 1533-position model. The record is from RNAcentral.